Molecule: long non-coding RNA, 1646 nt
Filed under: Mus caroli (Ryukyu mouse)
Lineage: Eukaryota; Metazoa; Chordata; Mammalia; Rodentia; Muridae
Description: lncRNA (MGP_CAROLIEiJ_G0004861.1)
Source: RNAcentral
CCUUUUGUGGCUGUGACUGCCCGCCCCCACAACGCCCUUCUCUGUCUCCGUUUUCUUCCCAGUGCUCUGAACUUUUGGGCAAAUGUGUCAAGUGUGAACACAGACAAAGCUUCACUUCAAAGCUCGUGUUCAGGGCCCUUAAAGUCAUAGUUAUUGCAAAACUGCGACCGUCUGGCGAACCUGCCUUAUGUAAGGGUGCUUGAACGUAUGAUUCACCAAACAUUUCUGCCGACAUCGCAAAGUUGUUGGAGCCAGAGUAGGAGAAAGACCACCCGUUUGAGAUCAUGGCUUGACAGGGAACACUCCCUCCUGCCACCAGAAUGGGUCCAAUCUAGACAUGUCUUCUCUGGCUUCCUUGUGCCUUGCCUUAUUUGGAGGGUUGGAAUAGUGGUCUGUCUUCGUGCGUGGUGAGAUAAUCAACACCAACAUCGAAGGAAGGAAGAUCUUUGCCACAGAGGAUCCUAGUUCCAGCUCCCAGGUAUCGGCCCCAACACCUCCUAGCUUGUGGAUUGAGCUCCUGUGGAGGAAGCUAACACAGCGGUUCUCUGAAGUCUGGCAUCUGUUCUGCUCGGUUCUGUGUUCCAAGGGUCUGACGCUAAGCCUGGCCUCUUUAAAAAGCAAAACAAAAUGGAAGACGCCCUGGAGGUGAGUUCUGGGAAGUUAGUAUUCGGAAGAAAGGUCGCUCUCCAGGAAGAAUUUCUGAGCCAGGCGAAACGUUGCUUCAGUCACACAAGAAUGAAACAGCCUUCUGACACCCCUACUACCACCACUACCACCCUUCACGUGAGUGAACUUGGAACACAGGCUGGCCCUGUUUAGACCAUGCUCAUUCUGAGAUACACAGGCUCAUGGAUGAGCAACAAUGUUGUUAAAAGCAGCCAGUGGUGACUGUGGCCUUUUAACUUCUCAGCUGAGAAAGGAAAGACAGCAGGUGCCUUUACACUGCAAAACAAGAGCUUCUUGAUGACGAUUUUGUGCAAUGCAUUGUGACCAUACUUAAGGUGCAUCCAGUUAGACAUGCUCAGUUCUCAGUGACCCACAAAGAGGGAGGUGACUAUAAAAUGAAACAACUCAAAUACCUUGGGAUGGAUGGAGCUUAGGGAAGAAGAGCUCAGACACAGACAGCAGGGAAGGCCACUUAUGCCAAGAUAAAGUGUAAAUAUUUUAUCCGGGGGACGGCAGGGACAGGAUGGGCACAGGCGAGAAUGGUAUGUAUCCACAGCUCCACACAUACCUACUUCUAUCCACGCCUGUAUGUUGGCAUAAAUGUUAUCAGAUUUCUUAGAGUCUAAUUUUAAAGCCGCUACUGACACCUUUCUGUGGGGCAGGAUAAAAGAGAGCGGACAGCGAACCUGCAUUUUGAGAAGAAGCCUCUUUGCAUCCCACAUUUAAGAUCCCUCUUGGCUGUGAAAGAAAACCAAAGAUACAAAACCACACAGACGCAGAGCUUCAUGGAUGAUGGUAAGGAUGUUGGAUCAGAGCUGCCCUCUUCCCGCCUCAGGAACCACUCUUUUGGCAUAAAAUCAUUGCCUCCUUGCAUUCCCUUCUAGGUAGCCAUCUGAAUGUGUGGCCCUCAACACUGCAGGUUAACAUUGUCCCUUCUCUUGGAAAUUGUUUGAUAUCCUAUCAAGUAAUUUCUAAUACUG